AGCUGAGUCAGCCAGGCACCCCCGGAUGCUGUACUUGUAUUAUAUUCACAAUAACCCUGAGGCCAUGUGAGAACAUCGCAAGAAGGCAGCCAUCUGCGAGCAAGGAAGAGAGUCCUCACUGGGAACGGAAUCGGCCAGCGCUUCGAACUCGGACUUCAGCCUCCAGAACUAGAGAGAGCACAAGCAGGGGGAGCUAC
Enhydra lutris kenyoni (northern sea otter) is the source of this 197-nucleotide long non-coding RNA. RefSeq lists it as uncharacterized. The record is from RefSeq and is a predicted model, not a curated record. NCBI's taxonomy places the organism in Eukaryota, Metazoa, Chordata, Mammalia, Carnivora, Mustelidae. The transcript has 3 exons.